RNAcentral lists this transfer RNA (67 nucleotides) under Ictidomys tridecemlineatus (thirteen-lined ground squirrel). RNAcentral's name for it is "Spermophilus tridecemlineatus (thirteen-lined ground squirrel) tRNA". It matches the Rfam family "tRNA", at positions 6 to 65 of the family's 71-position model. Rfam says of the family: Transfer RNA (tRNA) molecules are approximately 80 nucleotides in length. Their secondary structure includes four short double-helical elements and three loops (D, anti-codon, and T loops). Lineage: Eukaryota; Metazoa; Chordata; Mammalia; Rodentia; Sciuridae. The record is from Rfam by way of RNAcentral.
UAUAGCUCAGUGGUAGAGUGCUUGCCUAGUAUGUGGGAGGUGAGAGGUCUGGGUUCAAUCCCCAGUA